AGCACUGGAUUAACCAGUGGUUUAUUAGUGGAAUGGUGACAUAGACACCCUUCUAAAAGUGUAGUUCGCUGCUCAGUUCGGAUUAGGAGUCAGGUUCUGAGAUCACUUCGAGCUUUUUAAGUCCUCGGCAAUUUUGGCCGAUAAAGGUAAAAUGAGGACUGCGGCAACUGCAGCAAGUCAGGAUGAAGGCCAGAAGUCACUCUCCAUCCACCCUUAGGAGUAAACUGGCAAUGUUGCUUAGACUUCUCAUUUGAGAGCUUGCCGAAGAUUCAUGGGAAAAAGGAAUGCAAUCUAACACCUGUGCUUCAUUCAACUGUAUUGGAGGUUAUGAGAGACUUCAACAUGUGGUGACCGUGUGUGAAGAAUGGCAAAGGAUUUAAAGCUUGAAUCAUGGAAAAGAUAAGUUAUUCCAGAUAACUUAGGAAGAAGAACAAUAAAAAUGACACACUCUUUCCCUGCAGACAGAAAGAAUUUUGUGAAAAUAAUCAACCAGUGGUAAAUUAACAGCUAAUUGUUUUGUUGAAUUGACUUUUAAACAUCGGUUUUGUCUUUCUUUUUUUAUUUGUUAAUUCAACUGUGACAGUCACAUUAUUAUGUAGAUGUAUGAAGAAAAAUCAAGUUUUGGUACAAUAUUUUUUAUCUUUUUAUUUCAUGUGAAUUUAAGGCAAGGCAUAACAUUUUCAAAUGUAAAAUUUUUUUAGUCAUUGAAUUUUAAAGAACUUGUAAAUAAAUGAUUUAUAAUUUGUAUAAUUUCAUUUUUUUUUAAUUGUUAAGUUUGUAAAAGUCUGAAACAACAAUAGCUGAUGUACACAGUGAUAGGCAGAUUAUGUAACCAUUAAUGCAAAAUCCCUCUAACCAUUAAGGCGGAA
Molecule: long non-coding RNA, 869 nt
Organism: Saccostrea echinata
Lineage: Eukaryota; Metazoa; Mollusca; Bivalvia; Ostreida; Ostreidae
Exons: 3
Source: RefSeq, a predicted model, not a curated record